Molecule: non-coding RNA, 87 nt
Filed under: human gut metagenome
Also listed under: 1 other name
Description: Glycine riboswitch
Rfam family: Glycine riboswitch aptamer
About the family: This family represents the bacterial glycine riboswitch.
Source: RNAcentral
GAUCUCUGGAGAAUCUCCCAUGUGAGUACCGAAGGUGCAAGACUUCCAGCCGGGAAGUCGAAUCUCUCAGGUUAAAGGACAGAGCCG